UUGGAAACGACUGCUAAUACCGCAUACGCCCUACGGGGGAUUGGAGGGUACCUUUUAAGCCAUUUCGCGAUUGGAUGAACCCAGGUGGGAUUAGCUAGUUGGUGGGGUAAUGGCUCACCAAGGCGACGAUCCCUAGCUGGUCUGAGAGGAUGAUCAGCCACACUGGAACUGAGACACGGUCCAAACUCCUACGGGAGGCAGCAGUGGGGAAUAUUGCACAAUGGGGGAAACCCUGAUGCAGCCUUGCCGCGUGUGUGAAGAAGGCCUUCGGGUUGUAAAGCACUUUCAGCGAGGAGGAAAGGUUGGUGCCUAAUACCUGUCAACUGUGACGUUACUCGC
This 339-nucleotide ribosomal RNA is filed under the name Aeromonas salmonicida. RNAcentral describes it as "bacterial SSU rRNA". It matches the Rfam family "Bacterial small subunit ribosomal RNA", at positions 150 to 482 of the family's 1533-position model. The record is from RNAcentral. Lineage: Bacteria; Pseudomonadati; Pseudomonadota; Gammaproteobacteria; Aeromonadales; Aeromonadaceae.